This 390-nucleotide ribosomal RNA is filed under the name uncultured bacterium. Its description in RNAcentral is "bacterial SSU rRNA". It matches the Rfam family "Bacterial small subunit ribosomal RNA", at positions 975 to 1364 of the family's 1533-position model. The record is from RNAcentral.
CAAAUCUUGACAUCCUUUGACCGCUCUAGAGAUAGAGUCUUCCCCUUCGGGGGACAAAGUGACAGGUGGUGCAUGGUUGUCGUCAGCUCGUGUCGUGAGAUGUUGGGUUAAGUCCCGCAACGAGCGCAACCCUUAAGCUUAGUUGCCAUCAUUAAGUUGGGCACUCUAAGUUGACUGCCGGUGACAAACCGGAGGAAGGUGGGGAUGACGUCAAAUCAUCAUGCCCCUUAUGAUUUGGGCUACACACGUGCUACAAUGGACAAUACAAAGGGCAGCUAAACCGCGAGGUCAAGCAAAUCCCAUAAAGUUGUUCUCAGUUCGGAUUGUAGUCUGCAACUCGACUACAUGAAGCUGGAAUCGCUAGUAAUCGUAGAUCAGCAUGCUACGGUG